This 690-nucleotide ribosomal RNA is filed under the name Saccharospirillum sp. Its description in RNAcentral is "bacterial SSU rRNA". It matches the Rfam family "Bacterial small subunit ribosomal RNA", at positions 52 to 739 of the family's 1533-position model. The record is from RNAcentral. Lineage: Bacteria; Pseudomonadati; Pseudomonadota; Gammaproteobacteria; Oceanospirillales; Saccharospirillaceae.
CACAUGCAAGUCGAGCGGUAGCAGGACCAGCUUGCUGGUUGCUGACGAGCGGCGGACGGGUGAGUAACGCGUAGGAAUCUGCCCGGUAGUUGGGGAUAGCCCGGAGAAAUCCGGAUUAAUACCGAAUAAUCUCUGAGGAGGAAAGGGGGCUUCGGCUCUCGCUACUGGAUGAGCCUGCGUGAGAUUAGCUAGUUGGUGGGGUAAAGGCUCACCAAGGCGACGAUCUCUAGCUGGUCUGAGAGGAUGAUCAGCCACACUGGGACUGAGACACGGCCCAGACUCCUACGGGAGGCAGCAGUGGGGAAUAUUGGACAAUGGGGGCAACCCUGAUCCAGCCAUGCCGCGUGUGUGAAGAAGGCUUUCGGGUUGUAAAGCACUUUCAGACAGGAGGAAGGGGUUUCGGUUAAUACCCGAGAUCAUUGACGUUACUGUCAGAAGAAGCACCGGCUAACUCCGUGCCAGCAGCCGCGGUAAUACGGAGGGUGCGAGCGUUAAUCGGAAUUACUGGGCGUAAAGCGCGCGUAGGCGGCAAGUUAAGUUGGGUGUGAAAGCCCCGGGCUCAACCUGGGAACUGCAUUCAAAACUGGCUCGCUUGAGUACGGCAGAGGAGUGUGGAAUUUCCGGUGUAGCGGUGAAAUGCGUAGAGAUCGGAAGGAACACCAGUGGCGAAGGCGACACUCUGGGCUGAUA